AAGAAGAAAAAAUAAAGAAAGAUGGAUCUACAAGAAAUAAAAUUAAAUGAGAACAAAAGAAGAUACUCAAGGCAAGAAUCAAACUAAGGACUUGGUGGGAGACAAGAGAAGUAUCAAUCACCAGGCCAGGAGUGGUUGGUUGGAAGUUAGAUACAUCCCCGCGUACAAGUAAUAAAACCGGUGAAAAUUUGAAAAAAAUAAAAAAAACAGAACGGGCCAAGGGUGUCCAAAAGGCCUAAAGGACGACAGCAUAGAAAAACAAAGGGUGGGUUGUCU
RNAcentral lists this long non-coding RNA (276 nucleotides) under Lathyrus oleraceus (garden pea). Its description in RNAcentral is "Pisum sativum (pea) long non-coding RNA (PSAT_LNC011381)". The record is from RNAcentral. Lineage: Eukaryota; Viridiplantae; Streptophyta; Magnoliopsida; Fabales; Fabaceae.